RNAcentral lists this ribosomal RNA (759 nucleotides) under Bacillus subtilis. Its description in RNAcentral is "bacterial SSU rRNA". It matches the Rfam family "Bacterial small subunit ribosomal RNA", at positions 31 to 771 of the family's 1533-position model. The record is from RNAcentral. Lineage: Bacteria; Bacillati; Bacillota; Bacilli; Caryophanales; Bacillaceae.
CAAAGCUUGGCGGCGUGCCUAAUCAUGCUCGCCGAGCGGAACAGAUGGGUAGCUUGCUCCCUCCAUGUUAGCGGCGGACGGGUGAGUAACACGUGGGUAACCUGCCUGUAAGACUGGGAUAACUCCGGGAAACCGGGGCUAAUACCGGAUGGUUGUCUGAACCGCAUGGUUCAGACAUAAAAGGUGGCUUCGGCUACCACUUACAGAUGGACCCGCGGCGCAUUAGCUAGUUGGUGAGGUAACGGCUCACCAAGGCGACGAUGCGUAGCCGACCUGAGAGGGUGAUCGGCCACACUGGGACUGAGACACGGCCCAGACUCCUACGGGAGGCAGCAGUAGGGAAUCUUCCGCAAUGGACGAAAGUCUGACGGAGCAACGCCGCGUGAGUGAUGAAGGUUUUCGGAUCGUAAAGCUCUGUUGUUAGGGAAGAACAAGUGCCGUUCAAAUAGGGCGGCACCUUGACGGUACCUAACCAGAAAGCCACGGCUAACUACGUGCCAGCAGCCGCGGUAAUACGUAGGUGGCAAGCGUUGUCCGGAAUUAUUGGGCGUAAAGGGCUCGCAGGCGGUUUCUUAAGUCUGAUGUGAAAGCCCCCGGCUCAACCGGGGAGGGUCAUUGGAAACUGGGGGAACUUGAGUGCAAAAGAGGAAAGUGGAAUUCCCGUGUACCGGUGAAAUGCGUAGAGAUGUGGAGGAACACCAGUGGCGAAGGCGACUCUCUGGUCUGUACUGACCCUGAGGAGCGAAGCGUGGGGAGCGA